Nomascus leucogenys (northern white-cheeked gibbon) is the source of this 864-nucleotide long non-coding RNA. RefSeq lists it as uncharacterized. The transcript has 2 exons. NCBI's taxonomy places the organism in Eukaryota, Metazoa, Chordata, Mammalia, Primates, Hylobatidae. The record is from RefSeq and is a predicted model, not a curated record.
GCUAAGAUUACAGGUGUGAGCCAUGGCCACCUGGCCAAUAAAUGUUAUUUCUAAAAGAUGACGAAGCAAGAGAAGAACAUAAACACAAAUCUGCAAAUCUACUUAGACUGAACAUAUCAUAUGAGGUUUGGCUCUAGCUUCUCAGUACACUAAUUGCUCUGCUCAACCUACAAGAAGCCAGGUACACUGGAUUUCAAUAUGCCUACCUCAUGGUAUCUUCUACCAAUCCAGAGCCCUUAACAAAACAAGUCUCUAUCUGAGACAGUAGGGAAAACUUUAUCUCUGUUAGCCAGCUCUCAUUCCAAAGGGGUCUGAUAUUUAAAACUGUCUUUCUCCCAAAUAUUUUAACAGCAUGUGAGAACUUUUGGCUGAUGAAUACAAGAUACGCUCAUUCAUUCUCUUCAUUGCUAUGAAAUCAGUUUUUCCACAACCUCCUGCAGAACCUCAACACAUCACUAGGUGGCAACAUCCCUACACCAUAUCGGUUUAGAAACCACCUUUAGGAGGAGCAGCAAAACACGCGGCAUCCCAGUAUGAUUUUUCUAAAUAAAGUUUACAAUCUUUGAGGCCUGGCUGACUCAUGGGACAACUAGGACAAGAAACAAAGACAAAGAACACACACCUGACUGGACAGAGAUAAACCAAGAGCUGAGAGUUUUGGAAACAAGGCUGGAGCUGAGGAAAAGGACUGGGAACACGAACCUGUACAAACAACAAACUCUUACAACAGAAAACAAGCCACUCCUGGCCGUCAAGAAACCCACAAAUCUCAGAAGCAAAAGCAAAACAAAUGAAAAUACAAACCAAAUAAUGUCUAUUACCUUCAUGCCUGUUGGGUCCCAAUAAAGGAAUCAUUCCAAUAAA